Salvia hispanica is the source of this 308-nucleotide long non-coding RNA. RefSeq lists it as uncharacterized. The record is from RefSeq and is a predicted model, not a curated record. Lineage: Eukaryota; Viridiplantae; Streptophyta; Magnoliopsida; Lamiales; Lamiaceae.
GGUAAUUUUGGAUAUGCAUCUCUUCCCAAACCCAAUACACUUCUUUAACUCUACAAUCACUCCUCCCCCACGCCAACUGCCUUUGGCGCGCAGCCUCCCCCGCCCCACCACAUCGGAUUCGAGGAAGAAGCAGCACUAUAGCAGACCUCCAAGCUCUUGUUCGUGCUCUGAUUUCCUCCGAUCAAUACCAAGUCUUCGUCAGCGCACCAGAAAGCGAACAAUCUGCUGUUAGUCAUAGUUGAACAGUGCUAACUGUUAUGCAUCCAUGGCGGAAACUUUGACAGCUGCAAUUCAAACAGGAGAACAAC